CUGGAAGACGCAGCACGACUAAAGGUGUUUUCAUCUGGAGUGAACCGUUCUUCAUUGACUCAGAGCAUGGUAAGAUGGCAGUAUUUCUGGUCGACACAGAAGGCUGUGAUGGUCAUGAACGAAAGAAAAGCCUAAGUGUUCAACUGUCAGCACUCAGUAUGUUGCUGAGUUCAUACAUGAUUUUUAAUGUUGCCUCAAAGAUUAAUCGGACAGACCUGGAAUAUUUAGAG
Molecule: long non-coding RNA, 230 nt
Organism: Hemiscyllium ocellatum (epaulette shark)
Lineage: Eukaryota; Metazoa; Chordata; Chondrichthyes; Orectolobiformes; Hemiscylliidae
Exons: 3
Source: RefSeq, a predicted model, not a curated record